GAUGAACGCUAGCGGCAGGCCUAACACAUGCAAGUCGAACGGUAACAUGAGCGCUUGCGCUUGAUGACGAGUGGCGCACGGGUGCGUAACGCGUAUGCGACCUACCUCUAACUGGGGGAUAGCCCGGAGAAAUUCGGAUUAAUACCCCAUAGUAUAAUGGAACUGCAUGGUUUUAUUAUUAAAGAUUUAUCGGUUAGAGAUGGGCAUGCGUCCCAUUAGCUAGUUGGUGCGGUAACGGCGCACCAAGGCGACGAUGGGUAGGGGGCCUGAGAGGGUGGUCCCCCACACUGGUACUGAGACACGGACCAGACUCCUACGGGAGGCAGCAGUGAGGAAUAUUGGUCAAUGGACGCAAGUCUGAACCAGCCAUGCCGCGUGCAGGAUGACGGCCCUACGGGUUGUAAACUGCUUUUAUACGGGAAUAAUGUGUCCUACGUGUAGGAUUUUGAAGGUACCGUACGAAUAAGGAUCGGCUAACUCCGUGCCAGCCGCCGCCGUAACAC
This 503-nucleotide ribosomal RNA is filed under the name uncultured bacterium. RNAcentral's name for it is "bacterial SSU rRNA". It matches the Rfam family "Bacterial small subunit ribosomal RNA", at positions 28 to 526 of the family's 1533-position model. The record is from RNAcentral.